UAUGUAGCUCAGUGGUAGAGCAGGUAUUUAGCAUGCAUGAGGCCCUGGGUUCAAUUCCCAGCAUA
RNAcentral lists this transfer RNA (65 nucleotides) under Mesocricetus auratus (golden hamster). It matches the Rfam family "tRNA". Rfam says of the family: Transfer RNA (tRNA) molecules are approximately 80 nucleotides in length. Their secondary structure includes four short double-helical elements and three loops (D, anti-codon, and T loops). The record is from Rfam by way of RNAcentral. Lineage: Eukaryota; Metazoa; Chordata; Mammalia; Rodentia; Cricetidae.